Pelodiscus sinensis (Chinese soft-shelled turtle) is the source of this 217-nucleotide non-coding RNA. NCBI's taxonomy places the organism in Eukaryota, Metazoa, Chordata, Testudines, Trionychidae. The record is from RefSeq and is a predicted model, not a curated record.
UGAAAAGAGACAAGCUGGAGACGAGUGCUAGCAGAGAGAGCUUGGUCCUCAGCCUGGAACCGGAAACCCCCUACGCUGUCUUCGCCCCGGAUGCCGACCACUACACCAUGGUGGAGUUUGCCACGGUGCACUUCCGGGAGGCCCAGUCCACGCCAGGACUGAAGGGGGUGAGCGCGGAGAGGAGGAACCCAGCUGCCCUGGUCGAGCACACCAAGGU